This 2893-nucleotide long non-coding RNA is filed under the name Brassica napus (rape). RNAcentral describes it as "long non-coding RNA (BNAP_LNC016715)". The record is from RNAcentral. Lineage: Eukaryota; Viridiplantae; Streptophyta; Magnoliopsida; Brassicales; Brassicaceae.
AGGUGAAUGUUGUUAGGCCGACAAGAUCGCUACGUUGAUCAAAUCCGCUGGUGUUAGUUGCGAGUCAUACUGGCCAAUGCUAUUCGCCAAAAUGGCGGAGAAACGUAACGUUACUGACCUCAUCAUGAACGUUGGUGCUGGUGGCGGAGGUGGUGCCCCAGUUUCAGCUGCUGCCCCAGCUGCCGGUGGUGGUGCUGCAGCUCCUGCACCUGCCGCUGAGGAGAAGAAGAAGGUAGGAGAAAUAGCAGCAAUUAAUAAAUUCUUUUAUUGCUUAGUUCAACUUGUUUCUAAACAUUUUUUUGGUAAAAUCUAUUGUGGAUGCAGGAAGAAGUGGCAGAAGAGAGUGAUGGGGAUUUGGGUUUCGGCUUGUUCGACUAAGCAAGAAGCAAUUGCUUUUGUUUUUUUCUUGUUAUUAGUUGGUUGUUUUAUCCAAUUGAGACGCGCCAUGUUUUGUUUAGUUGCUACUUCGUUUCCUCAAGUUUUGGUUGUUUUCUUGAAUCACCCUGUUUGUGUAUCUCAAGUCUACCGAGCAAAACCAUCGGGGAGUUUGACAUUUUCUUUAUAUUUCCUUCUUUGACAGCUAAUAUUGGUGUGAGAUUUAUAAAUCAUGAAAUCAUAAGAAAAGAUCAUCGAAUCGCAAGAAAUGUUAGGAAAUUUUGAUGAAUAUAAAUGUAGAGAAAUAUAAAAUUAUCGGGAGGCUUGUAAAUGAGUAACUGGGCUUUACAAUAGUAGUUUUUGUCGGUUAAGUGUGUUAAUGAGGAGAAGGAGAGUGGAUCAAACGCGCUUCUAUUUGGGUUUAUGGAUUGAAACAACAUGUUUGUUUCUUCUGUCUCUUUUGUUAGUUGUUACACUUCCAACUCAUCCUCUUCCUGUCUUCCUCGUUUUCUCCGCCUCUCUCUCUCUCUCUCUCUCACUUCAUUUUACUCAUUCCCUUUGGGAAAGGAUUGGUCUCCAUUGAUAUAUCGAAAUGGCUACGUCUUUCUCCGCCACACUUCCUCUCCAUGGAUCUCAAGAGAAUCGUCUCUUACUUCCUCCGAUCCGAUUGGCUCCUCCUCCUUCUUCUUUCCUCGGAUUCACCCGUUCUCUCACCAUUCCUUCUUCUCGAAGACUCUACCACGCUCACGCCGCUCGUCGAUCUCCCGUCGUUGGCGUCCAGGAAGUUGUCAAGGAGAAGAAAGUCACCAACAGCCUGGUAUGCAUUGUCCAAACUCACUGAUACUUAUUAUUAGCAUCGACAGAGUUAGUUCUUUAGUAUUAUAACUAUUAGAUUAUUUAAAUUUCUGUAUAUGCUUUUUGAUUGAGAAAUUGGAGUUAUAGAUUUUUAUUUGAUUUGUUUUGAAAUUAGUUGAUAACCAAAGAGGAAGGAUUAGUGUUGUAUGAAGACAUGAUACUCGGUAGAUCAUUCGAGGACAUGUGUGCUCAAAUGUACUACCGUGGCAAGAUGUUCGGUUUUGUCCACUUGUACAACGGCCAAGAAGCCGUCUCCACCGGCUUCAUCAAGCUCCUCACUCAGUCUGAUUCAGUCGUCAGCACGUACCGUGACCACGUCCACGCCCUCAGCAAAGGCGUCUCUGCUCGUGCCGUCAUGAGCGAGCUCUUCGGGAAAGUCACGGGAUGCUGCAGAGGCCAAGGUGGGUCCAUGCACAUGUUCUCCAAAGAGCACAACAUGCUCGGUGGGUUCGCUUUUAUCGGAGAAGGCAUCCCUGUCGCCACCGGUGCUGCGUUCACCUCAAAGUACAAGAGGGAAGUCUUGAAACAGGACUGUGAAGACGUCACAGUUGCGUUUUUCGGAGACGGGACUUGUAACAACGGGCAGUUCUACGAGUGUCUCAACAUGGCUGCGCUUUAUAAGUUGCCUAUUAUCUUCGUCGUGGAGAAUAACUUGUGGGCUAUUGGGAUGUCUCACUUGAGAUCGACUUCUGAUCCUGAGAUAUGGAAGAAAGGUCCUGCGUUUGGGAUGCCGGGUGUUCAUGUUGACGGUAUGGAUGUGCUGAAGGUGAGGGAAGUGGCUAAAGAGGCGGUGACGAGAGCUAGAAGAGGAGAAGGUCCGACGUUGGUGGAAUGUGAGACUUACAGGUUCAGAGGACACUCCUUGGCUGAUCCUGAUGAGCUCCGUGAUGCUGGUACAUCUCUUGUUCCUUUUUUUCUUGUAAUGUUUUAUCUUAGGAUUGAAACUAACCUUUAGAUUAUGGCAGCUGAGAAAGCCAAGUACGCGGCAAGAGACCCGAUCACAGCAUUGAAGAAGUAUCUGAUAGAGAACAAGCUGGCGAAUGAAGGGGAACUUAAGACGAUAGAGAAGAAGAUAGACGAUUUGGUGGAGGAAGCGGUUGAGUUUGCAGACGCGAGCCCACAGCCUGGUCGGAGUCAGUUGCUAGAGAAUGUGUUUGCUGAUCCCAAAGGGUUUGGAAUAGGACCCGAUGGAAGGUACAGAUGUGAGGAUCCCAAGUUUACUCAAGGCACUGCUCAAGUCUGAAGAAAAAAACUACUUAACCUGUGUUCUGUUCUGUCUUUGGUUUCUGUUUAAUGUUUUUUUUUACUUGUCAUUAAGUUAAAAUGCUACAAAAAAACACAGUUUGGAUCGUUUGAAUUAUUUUUUCUUUCAGUUGGAAAUUUGCUAAAUUACAGAAAAUGUUCGUCAAAACAUUCUGAAUAACAAAACGACUAAGCUAAAGAGAGGCUUUCAUGUAGCGGGUUAAAUGACCCGACCCGGUUUAUCCUCUUAAAUUUUCUAUAUUUCUUAUUUAUUUAUUUUUAGUUUUCGUCACAAAUUAUUUACUUUUAAUGGCGGAGAAACGUAACGUUACUGACCUCAUCAUGAACGUUGGUGCUGGUGGCGGAGGUGGUGCCCCAGUUUCAGCUGCUGCCCCAGCUGCCGGUGGUGGUGCUGCAGCUC